CUCCCGCCGGCGACCGGCGCACGGGUGAGUAACACGUAUGGAACCUGCCCGCAGCAGGGGGAUAAGCGGAAGAAAUCCCGCCUAAUACAACAUAAUGCCGGGAGGGGACAUCCCCUGCCGGUCAAAGGGGGCGACCCCGGUCACGGAUGGGCAUGCGGCGCAUUAGGUAGUUGGUGGGGCAACGGCCCACCAAGCCGACGAUGCGUAGGGGUUCUGAGAGGAAGGUCCCCCACAUUGGAACUGAGACACGGUCCAAACUCCUACGGAAGGCAGCAG
This 276-nucleotide ribosomal RNA is filed under the name uncultured bacterium. Its description in RNAcentral is "partial 16S ribosomal RNA". It matches the Rfam family "Bacterial small subunit ribosomal RNA", at positions 82 to 354 of the family's 1533-position model. The record is from RNAcentral.